GACGAACGCUGGCGGCGUGCUUAACACAUGCAAGUCGAACGGGCCCGCUCCCUUUUUUGGGGGUGGGUUGAGUGGCGAACGGGUGAGUAUCACGUGAGUAACCUGCCCCCUGCUCCUGGAUAACUGCUUGAAAGGGCGGCUAAUACGGGGUGUGCCGGCUGGUCCGCAUGGGCCUGGUCGGGAUAGUUUCAUCUUCGGGUGUUUCGGUGGGGGAUGGGCUCGCGGCCUAUCAGCUUGUUGGUGGGGUGAUGGCCCGCCAAGGCGGUGACGGGUAGCCGGCCUGAGAGGGUGGGCGGCCACACUGGGACUGAGACACGGCCCAGACUCCUGCGGGAGGCAGCAGUGGGGGGUAUUGCACAAUGGGCGGAAGCCUGAUGCAGCGACGUCGCGUGAGGGAUGGAGGCCUUCGGGUUGUGAACCUCUUUCUCCGGUGGUGAAGGCCCUGUCCGUUGCGGCGGGGUUGACGGUAGCCGGGUAUGAAGCGCCGGCUAACUACGUG
This 499-nucleotide ribosomal RNA is filed under the name uncultured bacterium. Its description in RNAcentral is "partial 16S ribosomal RNA". It matches the Rfam family "Bacterial small subunit ribosomal RNA", at positions 28 to 507 of the family's 1533-position model. The record is from RNAcentral.